GUUUCUGUAGCACAAUGAAUAGUGCGUUGGACUUCUAAUCCAAAGGUUGUAGGUUCGAAUCCCACUUGGGAUA
This is a non-coding RNA of Trichonephila clavata, 73 nucleotides long. The record is from the annotation of a GenBank genome assembly. NCBI's taxonomy places the organism in Eukaryota, Metazoa, Arthropoda, Arachnida, Araneae, Nephilidae.